This 496-nucleotide ribosomal RNA is filed under the name uncultured bacterium. RNAcentral describes it as "partial 16S ribosomal RNA". It matches the Rfam family "Bacterial small subunit ribosomal RNA", at positions 28 to 506 of the family's 1533-position model. The record is from RNAcentral.
GAUGAACGCUGGCGGCGUGCCUAAUACAUGCAAGUCGAGCGAACAGAUGAGGAGCUUGCUCCUCUGACGUUAGCGGCGGACGGGUGAGUAACACGUGGAUAACCUACCUAUAAGACUGGGAUAACUUCGGGAAACCGGAGCUAAUACCGGAUAAUAUAUUGAACCGCAUGGUUCAAUAGUGAAAGACGGUUUUGCUGUCACUUAUAGAUGGAUCCGCGCCGCAUUAGCUAGUUGGUAAGGUAACGGCUUACCAAGGCAACGAUGCGUAGCCGACCUGAGAGGGUGAUCGGCCACACUGGAACUGAGACACGGUCCAGACUCCUACGGGAGGCAGCAGUAGGGAAUCUGCCGCAAUGGGCGAAAGCCUGACGGAGCAACGCCGCGUGAGUGAUGAAGGUCUUCGGAUCGUAAAACUCUGUUAUUAGGGAAGAACAAAUGUGUAAGUAACGAUGCACGUCUUGACGGUACCUAAUCAGAAAGCCACGGCUAACUACGU